This is a non-coding RNA of Phrynosoma platyrhinos (Desert horned lizard), 75 nucleotides long. NCBI's taxonomy places the organism in Eukaryota, Metazoa, Chordata, Lepidosauria, Squamata, Phrynosomatidae. The record is from the annotation of a GenBank genome assembly.
GCCAAUGUAGUGCUGUGGUUUGAAUGUUGGUCUAGUAUACUCCAGGAGGCCAGGGUUCAAAUCCCUGCUCAGCCA